RNAcentral lists this transfer RNA (65 nucleotides) under Dipodomys ordii (Ord's kangaroo rat). It matches the Rfam family "tRNA". From Rfam's summary of the family: Transfer RNA (tRNA) molecules are approximately 80 nucleotides in length. Their secondary structure includes four short double-helical elements and three loops (D, anti-codon, and T loops). Further hydrogen bonds mediate the characteristic L-shaped molecular structure. tRNAs have two regions of fundamental functional importance: the anti-codon, which is responsible for specific mRNA codon recognition, and the 3' end, to which the tRNAs corresponding amino acid is attached (by aminoacyl-tRNA synthetases). tRNAs cope with the degeneracy of the genetic code in two manners: having more than one tRNA (with a specific anti-codon) for a particular amino acid; and 'wobble' base-pairing, i.e. permitting non-standard base-pairing at the 3rd anti-codon position. The record is from Rfam by way of RNAcentral. Lineage: Eukaryota; Metazoa; Chordata; Mammalia; Rodentia; Heteromyidae.
GGUGGCUCAGUGGUAGAGCUCUUGCCUUGCAUGCAUGAAGCCCUGAGUUCGAUUCCUCAGCACCA